This is a long non-coding RNA of Alligator mississippiensis (American alligator), 582 nucleotides long. RefSeq lists it as uncharacterized. The transcript has 3 exons. Lineage: Eukaryota; Metazoa; Chordata; Crocodylia; Alligatoridae. The record is from RefSeq and is a predicted model, not a curated record.
AUUCCAAAAUUUUACUAACAGAAGGAAUUGCAUGUGAUCAUUGAACAAGUAAUUCAUUCUUAUGGAUUAGAUACUAGCAAAUUUAUUAAAAAUGGUGACAUUAUUUUAUACUCUUUAGUAAAAGCAGUGACAUCAUUUAAUUUUAUAUACUACCACUACUGGUAAUACAUAGAUGGUUUUAGGGGGUAUCUUGAGACCAGGUUUCUCUUUUUUGUUUAAACUGCUUCAUUGUGAAUGUCAGGAAAAUCAUAAAGCUUAACACCUGCUCUUGUUUGAUAACUUUUAAUUAGAAGCAGCUGUUUGGUAGUCAGCUUAAUUAUACUGCUAAGUUUUGGUGUUAGCAGUAUAUAGAGCAAGCUACAGUAUGGUUUGGACACGGCUCCUUUUAAAGUGUGGUACUUACUGCCUCUUAGCUAGUCUUCUGGCAAGACAUCCUGCUACUGGAGGAUGCUGUACAGUGCAUUGCUUACUCAGCUCUGAUCUUACAAAGGCUUACAGAUGCCUAACUCUAAGGGGCUUGUGAAUAUGCAUCAUUGUCAUUAUGCAAAAAUGGGAGAGACUGAACCCAAGAAAAGGGAAGUG